RNAcentral lists this ribosomal RNA (788 nucleotides) under uncultured Neocallimastigales. RNAcentral's name for it is "partial large subunit ribosomal RNA". It matches the Rfam family "Eukaryotic large subunit ribosomal RNA", at positions 26 to 644 of the family's 3401-position model. Lineage: Eukaryota; Fungi; Neocallimastigomycota; Neocallimastigomycetes; Neocallimastigales. The record is from RNAcentral.
CGUCUAUAUACGUAUAGCAUAUCAAUAAGCGGAGGAAAAGAAACUAACAUAGGAUUCCCUCAGUAACGGCGAGUGAAGCGGGAAGAGCUCAAAUUUGAAAUCUUCAAGGUUCUACCUUGACGAAUUGUAGUUUAAAGAAGUGUUUUCUGUUAGAUGAGUUCGUAAAAGUUCCUUGGAAUAGGGACAUCAUAGAGGGUGAGAAUCCCGUAUUUGACCGUUAUUCCUUCUAGCUUUGUGAUACACUUUCAAAGAGUCGGAUUGUUUGGGAAUGCAGUCCAAAAUGGGUGGUAAAUUUCAUCUAAAGCUAAAUAUUGGCGAGAGACCGAUAGCGAACAAGUACCGUGAGGGAAAGAUGAAGAGAACUUUGAAAAGAUGAGUUAAACAGUACGUGAAAUUGUCAAAAGGGAAGCGUUUGACACCAGUGUUGUUUUUCCGAAAAUCAAUUACGAAUGGUUUGAUUUUUGUAGUAGUUAUGACCUUCAUCAGCUUUCUGCACUUUCUUUAUGAAGUCUUUCUUAAUGCACUUUUUCGGUUAACAAGUCAACAUCAAUUUCUUUUGUUGUAAAAGGGUAUGAGGAAGGUGGCUUUCUUUUCGGAGAAAGUGUUUAUAGCCUUGUGCCUCUGCAAUCGGAGAGAUUGAGGUCUGCAGCGUAGAUCCUUCGGGGUUAGAUACGUUUGUGCUAAGUUAUAGCUUUUCAUAGACAACUUGUUGACUAUGUUUAGUCUUGUAGCUUACUCGCUGACGCUAUUUUACCUACGCUUAGGAUGUUGACUGAUAUGUAGUCGUA